Molecule: ribosomal RNA, 468 nt
Filed under: uncultured bacterium
Lineage: Bacteria
Description: partial 16S ribosomal RNA
Rfam family: Bacterial small subunit ribosomal RNA
Source: RNAcentral
GACGAACGCUGGCGGCGUGCUUAACACAUGCAAGUCGAACGGAAAGGCCCUGCUUUUGCGGGGUGCUCGAGUGGCGAACGGGUGAGUAACACGUGAGUAACCUGCCCUUGACUUUGGGAUAACUUCAGGAAACUGGGGCUAAUACCGGAUAGGAGCUCCUGCUGCAUGGUGGGGGUUGGAAAGUUUCGGCGGUUGGGGAUGGACUCGCGGCUUAUCAGCUUGUUGGUGGGGUAGUGGCUUACCAAGGCUUUGACGGGUAGCCGGCCUGAGAGGGUGACCGGCCACAUUGGGACUGAGAUACGGCCCAGACUCCUACGGGAGGCAGCAGUGGGGCAUAUUGCACCAUGGCCGGACGCCUGAUGCAGCAACGCCGCGUGCGGGAUGACGGCCUUCGGGUUGUAAACCGCUUUCGCCUGUGACGAAGCGUGAGUGACGGUAAUGGGUAAAGAAGCACCGGCUAACUACGUG